CACUUACUUGUAUCUAUAUCUAAUAUCAAUUGUUUCUAUUGAAUACUUCUGAUCAUAGUGAAAUCCCAACAGAAAAGUAAAACCAAGAGAAGAAUACAAAACCAUCUGUCACUUCGAAACUUGUGUUGGCAAACUUGCUCGAGAUAAAUUUAGAAAAAGUACAGAGAGUUCGAGAAGGUAAAUUGAUAGUUUUUGUACUAUUCCCGACUAUUUAUAAAAAUCCUACAAAUACUACGGUCAAUUCAACAGCCAGUUGAUGUUCAGAUUUUCAACAACCUCGAACCACUGGAGUUCCCUUCUAACAUUGACUAGGAAUCUGGGAAAGUGACAUCACUCAUAGCAUAACUAAACCAUUAGUUUCAUUUGAAUUAGAAAAAACUAUCGAAAUGGCUCUUCAGUUCCACCCGCUGGUAUUUGGUCUUAUGUUAGUAGUAGCAGUAGGGACUGUAGCUUACACAUUUUGGUCGAGUCCUUCACAUAAACAGAGCUAUGGAGGUCACCAAAGUAGAUCCUAUGAUAUUCCUCAGAAAUAUUCUAUUGGCUAUGAUACAAACAUAAGGAAAAGCCCCCCCCCAAAAAAAAGGAAAGAAGAUAAAUGCUGCAUCUGCUUAGAUAGCUUGGAAGAUGAUUUGAAAACAUUACCCUGCCUUCACGUGUUUCAUUCUAAUUGCGUCUCAGGGUGGCUUAGUAGCAAUUACACUUGUCCUAUAUGCAGAAAAAUGACUUUUUAAAUAACUAAAGAAAAUACGAGUUCUUUCAAAACUGCCAGGGUCGAUAGUUCCUGACAAUUUAAGUAUCGAAAGAUAACCAUCUUUUUUUAAGCAUUAGUUUAUUAAGGGCCUUCAAACUUUUUAUAGCCAAGAAGAUUGAAUCAAUCUGUAGUUUAUUUCUGUGACGUAACAGACAUUCUAAGCUUCUGUUAUUAAUCGAUAUUAAUUAUUCACUGACCUCAUACUAAGUACCAUUUUGAAUGUGAGAUUUUCACUAGACAGUUUACAAAACCGUGUCAAAUGUUUCACUAUAAUAUAGCUUUCUCAAGCAUUUUCUGUAUGAAUUUUAUCACAUGACUAACGUCAAUAAAUUUAUUUUCAUUUAUAUCACAUGAUUCAAACACAA
Molecule: long non-coding RNA, 1116 nt
Filed under: Leptinotarsa decemlineata (Colorado potato beetle)
Lineage: Eukaryota; Metazoa; Arthropoda; Insecta; Coleoptera; Chrysomelidae
Description: uncharacterized LOC111506780, transcript variant X1
Source: RNAcentral